CUGGUGUCAGCUGCCGCGGUAAUACCAGCACCUCGAGUGGUCAGGACGUUUAUUGGGCCUAAAGCAUCCGUAGCCGGCUCUGCAAGUCUUCGGUUAAAUCCACCUGCUCAACAGAUGGGCUGCUGGAGAUACUACAGAGCUAGGGAGUGGGAGAGGCAGACGGUAUUCAGUGGGUAGGGGUAAAAUCCUCUGAUCCAUUGAGGACCACCAGUGGCGAAGGCGGUCUGCCAGAACACGUUCGACGGUGAGGGAUGAAAGCUGGGGGAGCAAACCGGAUUAGAUACCCGGGUAGUCCCAGCUGUAAACGAUGCAAACUCGGUGAUGCAUUGGCUUAUGGCCAAUGCAGUGCCGCAGGGAAGCCGUUAAGUUUGCCGCCUGGGAAGUACGGACGCAAGUCUGAAACUUAAAGGAAUUGGCGGGGGAGCACCACAAGGGGUGAAGCCUGCGGUUCAAUUGGAGUCAACGCCAGGAAUCUUACCCGGGGAGACAGCAGAAUGAAGGUCAAGCUGAAGACUUUACCAGACAAGCU
RNAcentral lists this ribosomal RNA (529 nucleotides) under uncultured Nitrososphaerota archaeon. RNAcentral describes it as "bacterial SSU rRNA". It matches the Rfam family "Archaeal small subunit ribosomal RNA", at positions 452 to 981 of the family's 1478-position model. Lineage: Archaea; Thermoproteati; Nitrososphaerota. The record is from RNAcentral.